Molecule: ribosomal RNA, 513 nt
Filed under: Triticum aestivum (bread wheat)
Lineage: Eukaryota; Viridiplantae; Streptophyta; Magnoliopsida; Poales; Poaceae
Description: partial small subunit ribosomal RNA
Source: RNAcentral
AUGGCUGAGAUCAAGUGCGACCCUCGGGUCAUGACUAAGCUACAAGUCGAGGUGAGAAACAACACACCGAAGGGGCAAGACUUGGUCGAGGAAGAGAACUUAGCCAACAUGACAUAUUUGAAGGUAGUGGUGAAGGAGACGCUUAGGUUGCACCCGCCGCUACCGCUCCUCAUCCCUCACCUUUCCAAGGUAGAGAGCGAAGUUGACGUUGCUGGAUACACGGUCCCUUCUGGAGCAUGGGUCAUGGUGAACUCAUGGGCUAUCAAUAGAGACCCCGAGUGGUGGGAGAAGCCAGAGGAGUUCCUGCCAGAAAGGUUCAUGGAGGGUGGUAGAGCCUCGGCGGUGGACUUCAGGGGGAAUGACUUCCAAUUUUUGUCGUUUGGAGCUGGCAGGAGGAUCUGCCCUGGUAUCAACUUCGGGCUGGCGACCAUCGAGAUCAUGCUGGCAAACCUUGUGUACAAUCACGACUGGGAGCUGUCGUCCGCCGCGGGCAAGAAGGGUAUUGACAUGUGA